AAUAAAAAAAAAAAGAUAGUAAAUAUAAAACAACUAAAUAAUAUUGAAAACAACAAGAAAUAAGACCAAAAAAAUCUAAAAAUAGCAAUAGAGAAAAACAAACCGGCUUUUUUCUUCCUUUUUUCAUAUCAAGAUUGGUUCCAACUUUGAUUUCAAUGACUUUCUCGUGAUUUUGUUUUACUCUCCUGCAAAUGUUAAAACCAGUGUGUUAGGAUAGGAGAUCUUUUGAAAUAAUUUAUUUGAAAAAAUAGUAUAACAUUUUUUAUGAUGUGAUGUACAUAAGAAAAAAGACAAUUGAAAAGAUAAAAAUAUAGUUGAAAACGUAUUUACGAUGUAAUCAAAUAAUCUUGUGCAAAUAAGAAGCUAUCCAAACACACUCGCUAACCUUUUACAAUCAUUAUCGUGCUCCAAAUUCUGUUCAAGCAUCGAAACAAGUGGAAAGCUUUGAAUUUCCAGGCUUGAAUAUCCAUACUUUGAUUCUUCGUAAUGGCCUAUUAUCUAUCCCUGAACCAAGCUAAGUACCAACGCUCGAACUUGUCAUUCUUGCUCAGAAGUCCGAAGAAUUAAGAUGGAUCCUGAUUGUGGUAACAAUUGCUGAACAGGAAUUUCUUUGCCCAAGACGGAUUUGGCGGCAGUACUAAACCGCACUUGAUUGUUUCAACUCGUACCCAAAAAUUUCAAAAAGAGUGAAUAUACUUGCAUGACUGUCGUGAUUACUUCUUCAUAUGAUCAUAAGGGUGAUGACUGAUGAAAUCCAAGUCAUGGGCAAUCAUCCUGUAGUGUUACUCUUGACUGAGUAAACAAGACUCC
This 810-nucleotide long non-coding RNA is filed under the name Coffea arabica (coffee). RNAcentral describes it as "long non-coding RNA (CARA_LNC005741)". Lineage: Eukaryota; Viridiplantae; Streptophyta; Magnoliopsida; Gentianales; Rubiaceae. The record is from RNAcentral.